CACGUAGUUAGCCGGGGCUUCUUGGUCAGGUACCGUCAUUUCUUUCUUCCCUGCUGAUAGAGCUUUACAUACCGAGAUACUUCUUCACUCACGCGGCGUCGCUGGAUCAGGGUUCCCCCCAUUGUCCAAUAUUCCCCACUGCUGCCUCCCGUAGGAGUUCGGGCCGUGUCUCAGUCCCAAUGUGGCCGUCCACCCUCUCAGGCCGGCUACUGAUCGUCGCCUUGGUGGGCCGUUACCCCGCCAACAAGCUAAUCAGACGCGGGUCCAUCAUAUACCACCGGAGUUUUUCACACUGAGCCAUGCAGCUCCGUGCGCUUAUGCGGUAUUAGCACCUAUUUCUAAGUGUUAUCCCCCUGUAUAUGGCAGGUUACCCACGCGUUACUCACCCGUCCGCCACUAAGCCGCCAACAUUUCCACUCUUAGCAAGCUAAUCGCUUCAAAAAUGGUGGCCCCGUUCGACUUGCAUGUGUUAAGCACGCCGCCAGCGUUCAUCCUGAGCCAGGAUA
Molecule: ribosomal RNA, 506 nt
Filed under: uncultured Lachnospiraceae bacterium
Lineage: Bacteria; Bacillati; Bacillota; Clostridia; Lachnospirales; Lachnospiraceae
Description: partial 16S ribosomal RNA
Source: RNAcentral